GGAAGGAUCAUUAAAGGAUUAAUGGAUAAAUUCCAUAUCUGUGAAAGGUAUGGUGGGCUUAGCUGGGUUGAAAUCGCCAGGCGCUAUAGCGCAAAGGUGACCUAGCGAAAGUCAUCAGUCAACGACUGACCCUGAUGAGAAUUUGAGGAAUCUGAUGGACUAGCGAAUGACUAGUUAAUUAUCGGAGCUCGAAUUCAGGAUUCAGUGGAGGAAGUUGGCUUACAGACAUUUGAGGUAGUUCUCUUAGUGGGUGUAGUUGGUCUGGCUAUGCGAGUACCCAUUAAGAAAGCUCUGGGCGACUGACCUGGGGUAACUUUAAAGAGUUUUAGGCGAGCAAAUAGAAGUGGCUACGAUAUUCUGCUACGAUGAUUUGCAAGCUAGAAACCGCCUCACUAAAUUUUUUUGAAAAUUUAUGAUGUCAGCUUGCAAGGCUUGAAUCGUACGUCCUGAGCGAUAGACUUGGCGACUAUAAGUGAGAGCUUGCUGUUGGGACUUGGAUUCUGAGUGAGCCCAAUCUGAUGACUUGGUAUGGUUAAUGCUUUUGCAAUCUCUCCUGAGGAUCGACUUGGCGAGAGAGAAGUGAGAGUCAUUAAUUGAUAUGAUCUUGCUUAUCAGAUUGGAGUUUCGAUUUGCUUUCUAGCGACCUGAGCGAAAGACUUGGGAAAGCUGUGAGAGCUAGCGAAUGACUUGGAUGAAGUGACUUGAUCACAUCAUAAAUUUGUUUCGAAAAAUGGUAUCUAAUGCUAUGAGGAUCAGCUAGAUGAGCUGAUGAAAAACCUUAUAGUGAACUCUAAGAGAAUUCUUUGAGGAGAUUUAAAGAGUCGUAUGACCGCCAUCUAUAAUUAAACUAUUUUAAAACCUAGCUUGGCAUACGAUUCUAUGUCAAUAAUUGUGAUUCUAAGCGGUGGAUCACUUGGCUUGUGGGUCGAUGAAAAACGGGGCAAAACCCGAGAGCUAAUGUGAAUUGCAGACACAUUGAACAUCGACAUUUUGAACGAACAUUUUGGCAUUAGGUAUUCCUGAUGCCGCGUUUGGUUGAGGGUUGUUUUUUAUGCUUGCCGAACUACGUGGAUAGGGAGGCAGAUUUGAGUGGCUGUUUCGGCACCCACUUUAAGCUAUUGAAUGACUUUCGAAAAUUGAAGUCAUAGUUCUUAUGAGCUUUAUUAGUUGAAGUAUUGCAAAUGAUUAGUGCAUUCUUUAAUUGAUAGAGUAUAAACGAAAACUAUAUAACCUCAGCUCAAGCGCGACUACCCGCCGAAUUUAAGCAUAUUAUUAGGCGGAGGAAAAGAAACUAACAAGGAUUUCCCUAGUAACGGCGAGUGAAAAGGAAAAAGCCCAUCGCUGAAUCCCUUGGCAUUUGCCCUGGGACCUGUAGCGUUAAUGAAAGUCGCUCUGCUGGCGCUAUUAUCGUAAGCUCCCUUGAUUGGGACCCCAUAGAGGGUGGAAGGCCCGUAACGAUAUGUUAGCUAGCGGUAUGAUUUUCAAAAGAGUCGGGUUGCUUGAGAGUGCAGCCCAAAGUUGGUGGUAAACUCCAUCUAAGGCUAAAUAUGACCACAAGACCGAUAGCGAACAAGUACCGCGAGGGAAAGUUGAAAAGAACUUUGAAGAGAGAGUUCAAAAGGGCGUGAAACCGUUUAGAAGCAAACGGAUAAAGCCGCAAGGUAGUUGCAAAAAUCAGCUAGGCAAAUGGGUGAACACUUGUCGGUCGAUCGAUUAAACGACUGGCUAUGUUAUUAGCCUCUGUCUGGUGCACUUUUUGCGAUGAAGCAUUGCGACCAAGGUGAAUUCUGACGGAAGAGUGAGCUUGAAGGCAGAGACGAGUUUUCUGUAACUAGGCUCCUUGAAAGUCAGUACAUAACUUUGGUUCCCCUAGCAGCGGCCGUAAGGAGUAGUGAAAUUUGGUGGCUGGCUUGGUCGAAAUGUCUGAUUCUGCUUGCAGGGUUGGGCGAUUCCUAGGCUAGUAGCUGAGUGAUCUACUAGCUGCGAAGGCUCGGCAAUGUCAGUGGCGGCGACUUAUCCGACCCGUCUUGAAACACGGACCAAGGAGUCUAACAUGUGCGCGAGUUAUUGAGUGGUAAACUCAAAGGCGAAAUAAAAGUAAAGACAGCGCUAGCUGGCUUAAAUAUGAUCCUCGGCUUCGGCUGGGGCGGAGUAUUGUCCCAUCUAAGUGGUUCGUCCACUGGGUGGAGAAAGAGCGCAAAUGUUGGGACCCGAAAGAUGGUGAACUAUGCCUGAGCAGAACGAAGCCAGAGGAAACUCUGGUGGAGGUUCGUAGCGGUUCUGACGUGCAAAUCGAUCGUCAGACUUGGGUAUAGGGGCGAAAGACUAAUCGAACCAUCUAGUAGCUGGUUCCCUC
This 2356-nucleotide unclassified non-coding RNA is filed under the name uncultured fungus. Its description in RNAcentral is "sequence contains 18S rRNA gene, ITS1, 5.8S rRNA gene, ITS2, 28S rRNA gene". The stretch from base 1228 to 2356 matches the Rfam family "Eukaryotic large subunit ribosomal RNA", at positions 1 to 961 of the family's 3401-position model. The record is from RNAcentral. Lineage: Eukaryota; Fungi.